RNAcentral lists this ribosomal RNA (1432 nucleotides) under Ololygon luizotavioi. RNAcentral's name for it is "partial 16S large subunit ribosomal RNA". It matches the Rfam family "Bacterial large subunit ribosomal RNA", at positions 363 to 2597 of the family's 2925-position model. Lineage: Eukaryota; Metazoa; Chordata; Amphibia; Anura; Hylidae. The record is from RNAcentral.
GCUGAAAAUCCAGCCCAUUAAACCCGUAUAAACCCACUCACUUUAUUUAACCAACCAAAACAUUCUAAUACUUUAGUACAGGCGAUUGAAAAAUUUAGUGGCGCAAUAAAAAUAGUACCGCAAGGGAAAGAUGAAAUAAAAAUGAAAUAAAUCUCAAGCGCGAAAAAGUAGAGACCCCCCCUCGUACCUUUUGCAUCAUGAUUUAACUAGUCUAAUCAAGCAUAAAGCAUUUCAGUUUGACUUCCCGAAACCAAGCGAGCUACUUCAAGGCAGCUUCAUGAGCAAACCCGUCUCUGUUGCAAAAGAGUGGGAAGACCUUCAAGUAGAGGUGACAGACCUAACGAGCUUGGUGAUAGCUGGUUUCUCAAGAAAAGGAUUUUAGUCCAACCUAAAGGCCCCCCCCCAUUUUAAAAAAUUUUCAUUAGGCUUUUAGAGCAAUUCAAAUAAGGUACAGCCUAUUUGAAACAGGAUACAACCUCAACUGACGGGUAACAAAUUUUUUUUAUCAACCAAGUAGGCCUAAAAGCAGCCACCUUAAAAAAGCGUCAAAGCUUAAUUGAAAAAUCAAACUAAUCCCCCUUAUUUCCAUCAACCCUCUACCAAUAUUGAGUAAUUCUAUAUUUUUAUAGAACCUAUUAUGUUAAAACUAGUAACAAGAAGCUAACCCUUCUCCUAGGUGCAAAUGUAAAUCAGAAAGGAUAAACCACUGAUAAUUAACGUGUUUGAGCUAACAUUAAUAACUUUCCAAGAAAAUCCUAACUAUUAUCACGUUAACCUAACACAAGACCACCUCAAGAAAGAUUAAAAGAAAAAGAAGGAACUCGGCAAAUCUUAACCCCGCCUGUUUACCAAAAACAUCGCCUCUUGCAUAAAAAUAAGAGGUCCAGCCUGCCCAGUGACCACCACAGUUCAACGGCCGCGGUAUCCUAACCGUGCGAAGGUAGCGUAAUCACUUGUUCUCUAAAUAAGGACUAGUAUGAAUGGCAUCACGAGGGUUACACUGUCUCCUUUUUCUAAUCAGUAAAACUAUUCUCCCCGUGAAGAAACGGGGAUAUUUAUAUAAGACGAGAAGACCCUAUGGAGCUUUAAAUUUUUCUACAUAUUGCUCUUUCAUUUAAUUUGUCCCGACUUCUUACUUUCAACCGAGCAUACUGAUAGCAAAUUUUAGGUUGGGGUGACCGCGGAGCAUAAAAGAACCUCCGCACAGAACAGGCUUAAGCCUUGAGUUAAGAGCCACGACUCCAAACACUAAUAUAUUAACAUUCAUUGACCCAAUAUUUUUGAUCAACGAACCAAGUUACCCUAGGGAUAACAGCGCAAUCUACUUUGAGAGCCCUUAUCGACAAGUGGGUUUACGACCUCGAUGUUGGAUCAGGGUAUCCCAGUGGUGCAGCCGCUACUAAAGGUUCGUUUGUUCAACGAUUAAAACCCU